GCUGUUGCAUGAAUUGCAUAAAGCCUCUGAACAUUCCAUCAUUCAUCAUUUGGUCAGUGUUGUUGUUUGCAUGAGGAUUGUCGCCUUCCUGAUGCACAUUAUCCUGAUUAUUGAUAUGUGGUGAAUCAACGGUCUCCUGUGCUCCAUUGCUAUUCUCAACAUUCUCGGAUGUCAUUUUUAGAUACUGCCACAAAACAAAAGGUUAAUUGACAUGUAACAUAU
Molecule: long non-coding RNA, 222 nt
Filed under: Panax ginseng (ginseng)
Lineage: Eukaryota; Viridiplantae; Streptophyta; Magnoliopsida; Apiales; Araliaceae
Description: long non-coding RNA (PGIN_LNC013260)
Source: RNAcentral